RNAcentral lists this ribosomal RNA (274 nucleotides) under uncultured bacterium. RNAcentral describes it as "partial 16S ribosomal RNA". It matches the Rfam family "Bacterial small subunit ribosomal RNA", at positions 523 to 796 of the family's 1533-position model. The record is from RNAcentral.
AUACGGAGGGGGCUAGCGUUGUUCGGAAUUACUGGGCGUAAAGCGCACGUAGGCGGUGUAUAUAGUCAGAGGUGAAAGGCCUGGGCUCAACCUGGGAACUGCCUUUGAUACUUAUACGCUAGAGAGCGGGAGAGGGUAGCGGAAUUCCCAGUGUAGAGGUGAAAUUCGUAGAUAUUGGGAAGAACACCAGUUGCGAAGGCGGCUACCUGGCCCGGUACUGACGCUGAGGCGCGAAAGCGUGGGGAGCAAACAGGAUUAGAUACCCCAGUAGUCC